GGAUUUCAGUUCAUAGAAGCUGUACAUUUUUCCUACCCGCCGCCGUCUUUGACAAUUUGAUAGGACAAUUGUUGUGUAAGUCCCCAAUGCUAAAAAAAAAAAAUCAAAGCUCUACCACAAUCAUUUCACCACAAUUAGCCGGAUUCCUGUUCUCGUGUUUGAAAACUGAAUCGACUAUCAUUACCUAUUCUAGAUUCUACAGCGUGUGUUGCAUUAGGAGCAAGUUCGAUGUAAGAAUGCUACAACGGCUAUGACAGAUAAGAUGACCGAGGUCAUUGGGACAAGGGACGUCCUGGCGUCGCUACUAUAUAUGGAGCCAAAGUCGAUGCCGUUGUCAGGAUACCAACCGCCAGUUCCAGUUAUCGUUCCAAUUGAUCCCUGUCCUGGGUAGCAAGAGCUUCCAUCUCCGCCACUUGACACGGGAUUCGUCACAGUCCCACCGCUUGACCCGGGAGCAGCAGGAUUCGUCACAAUCCCACCGCCGCUUGAGGGAUUGGUCACAGUCCCGGCGUCACUCCUGCUGAGUAAACAGAAGAAACAUAAACCAGCGAAGGAAAU
This 558-nucleotide long non-coding RNA is filed under the name Eucalyptus grandis. RNAcentral describes it as "long non-coding RNA (EGRA_LNC007824)". Lineage: Eukaryota; Viridiplantae; Streptophyta; Magnoliopsida; Myrtales; Myrtaceae. The record is from RNAcentral.